Zingiber officinale is the source of this 2048-nucleotide RNA transcript. RefSeq lists it as uncharacterized. The transcript is spliced from 9 exons. NCBI's taxonomy places the organism in Eukaryota, Viridiplantae, Streptophyta, Magnoliopsida, Zingiberales, Zingiberaceae. The record is from RefSeq and is a predicted model, not a curated record.
AAUUUUCAAUUUAAAUCUUCAACUGGGGAACAGUGCGUCCGGGGUCGGCGCAUGAAUUUUUGCAACUCUUAACGCUGAACCCUAACCAACGACUUUUACCCACAAAAAUCCUUUCGCUGCUGUCGCCGCCGCCGCCGCCGCCUCCGCCUCUUUCCCCGACCAUCGUCUAGCCCUAGUCGUCGCCGAUAGAGAUCGGAGCAGCGGAGAGUUUCGGGCCCCAUCUCGGCAGCCGCUGCUCGCCCCCGCUGCCGGUAUCUCCGUCGUGGCGCCGCCAACGCUCCACAAUAGCAAGCACGAUUAGAACUUCUAUUUAGAGCCAAGCUAGUGUCUCGGCAAGCCUAGCUCGUAUGGGGCGUGACAAUGUUUCUCCCUGGCAUCAGGCUUCAAACAACCAGUCAAGCAUAGGCGCAUAAGUUUGCCAAUUUUGAUAUGGAUCUGGCUUCAUUCAAAUUGGAUGUUGAUGAGCUUUUGGACAAGUUUACUGAUGGAAACUAUACCACAUUGGCUGAUAUGAAGAGAUUGUGGAUGUCUAAGAGAUUUUCUUACAUCUUUGAAGCAAAACCUAGUUCCAAAGAGGGCUUAUUUAUGCAAUCUCUAUACUCCUAUUCAAUUAGGCAUAUGGUUUCAGUAGGUGCGUUUUCAAGGAGAUUGGGUGGGCUUUACUGCCUUUACUGCCUCUAUGAGACUCAACCAUAUCAUCCAUAUUUCAAAAUUUAUCUCUCUCUUGGUGAGUUAAAGAGUCUCAAAAUGCUUGUUGUUGAUGCCAAAACUAUGGGGAUUGGUGUUGUUCCUGCACUGGUGAAGAGAAUGCUUGAUAAGGACACAUUUUUGUUUGGUUCAGUUGAUAAUGUUGGUGGGUACCAAAUAGUUGAUGAAGCAAUUAAGGUUGAGAACAAGUGUGUUCAAAUAGCAUAUGAAAGAUUAAUGGAAAAUACCGAGAUUGACCACUAUCUGCAAAUGGACCUUGGAAGAGAAUUGGAAUUUGACACGCUAAAGAAGAUGUCAGAAGAAAAUGCUGAAGCUAAGGAAUUGGCUUUAUCAGCUUACGACUUGGCCACUGGAGACGAUGCUAAGGACAUUGCGGACCACAAGAACUUAAUAGGGGACAAGCUCGAUGACAUUGUGAAACAGUGGGAUGCAGAAAAGGAGGCAUUUUGUGAGCAGACUGGUAUCAGUAUAUGCAACGAGUCAGUGGUGACCGAUGACUUCGCCGAGAUAGAACUCCUCCUGAACGAGUAAUGGCAUUGAUACCAACUCACUGAAACAACGUCUCAUGCUGCUGUAAGAGCGUUCGUGGAUCUGUGCAUUUGGUUAACACUAAACAACUCUUACUCGGGAGAUUGCGUUGGAGAUUGCCUAAUUAGCGGUUGAACACUCAAUGGGCUCGAUGGCCUUGAGCUGCUCACGACCUCGUUCAUGCCCAAUUCAUCGCCAUUCCCUUCUCGAUUCAUCUCCUCCAACGAAGGUACCGCUCCUGCCAUGCAAACACACCCCAACGUCACCAGCAUACAUCAUCCCGAUCCCUGGCCUCCAUCCCAUAUCCAGAUCCGCCAUCUACUUGCUCUGCGACGCCCAGAGGAACCCUAUGGCGCCGGUGAUGGCCCCCAUCUUUCCGGCCGCCCUCGACAUCCUGUGGCACGUCGACCGGAGCCUUGCCGGGAACAGCUCUGCCGGCACGAUGAAAGUGGUCGUGUUGGGGCCGAAGUUGGAGAAGAAGAACGUCAAGGAAUAGAGGAUUAUGUACCCGGCGUUGAAGUGCUGCUUCCAGUACUUGUCGUAUGGGAUCACCAGGGAGAAGAGGGAGAUGCUCAUGAAGAAGAAGCCGCACAAUUGGAUCCGCCUCCGCCCGGUCCGGUCGAUGAAGUAGAUGGUCACGAAGUACCCAGGGAUGGUGGAGGCCACGACCACUGGCGGAGCCAGGAUUUGUAGCCCGCCCGGGCUACAAAUCUCCUCCAGAUUGCUCCCCAGGCUAUAGGGGUUAUUUUCUUUAUUUAGGAAUCAAAAUUUAAUGACAUCAACGGGUAAAAUAUACACUACUUUAGUAAGUC